Molecule: unclassified non-coding RNA, 298 nt
Filed under: Basidiomycota sp.
Lineage: Eukaryota; Fungi; Basidiomycota
Description: partial contains small subunit ribosomal RNA, internal transcribed spacer 1, and 5.8S ribosomal RNA
Rfam family: Eukaryotic small subunit ribosomal RNA (bases 1-47)
Source: RNAcentral
AAAGUCGUAACAAGGUUUCCGUAGGUGAACCUGCGGAAGGAUCAUUAUUGAAUACAUUGUGAAGGAGGUUGAGCUGGCUUUUAACCAAGCAUGUGCUUGUCUCCUUUCAAUAUCUUCAUCCACCUGUGCACCUUUUGUAGGGAUAUAGAAAGAUCUGGAACGGUGUAAAAGCCAAGUACGGGGACUUCUGUUCUCUAUGUUUUUACACACCUAAUGUAUGUUUAUGAAUGUCUAUUGGGGACUUUAUUGACCCUAUAAAAAGUUAAUACAACUUUCAGCAACGGAUCUCUUGGCUCUC